Molecule: ribosomal RNA, 434 nt
Filed under: uncultured bacterium
Lineage: Bacteria
Description: bacterial SSU rRNA
Rfam family: Bacterial small subunit ribosomal RNA
Source: RNAcentral
UACGGAAGGCAGCAGUGGGGAAUAUUGGACAAUGGGCGAAAGCCUGAUCCAGCCAUGCCGCAUGAGUGAAGAAGGCCUUCGGGUUGUAAAGCUCUUUUAGUGGGAAAGAUAAUGACGGUACUCACAGAAGAAGUCCUGGCUAACUCCGUGCCAGCAGCCGCGGUAAUACGGAGAGGGCUAGCGUUAUUCGGAAUUAUUGGGCGUAAAGAGCGCGUAGGCUGAUUAGUAAGUUAAAAGUGAAAUCCCAAAGCUUAACUUUGGAAUUGCUUUUUAAAACUGCUAGUCUAGAGAUUUGAAAGAGGAUAGAGGAAUUCCUAGUGUAGAGGUGAAAUUCGUAAAUAUUAGGAGGAACACCAGUGGCGAAGGCGUCUAUCUGGUUCAAAUCUGACGCUGAGGCGCGAAGGGCGUGGGGAGCGAAACAGGGAUUAGAUACC